Molecule: RNase P RNA, 369 nt
Filed under: Candidatus Babeliales bacterium
Lineage: Bacteria; Candidatus Babeliae; Candidatus Babeliales
Description: RNase P RNA component class A
Rfam family: Bacterial RNase P class A
About the family: Ribonuclease P (RNase P) is a ubiquitous endoribonuclease, found in archaea, bacteria and eukarya as well as chloroplasts and mitochondria. Its best characterised activity is the generation of mature 5'-ends of tRNAs by cleaving the 5'-leader elements of precursor-tRNAs.
Source: RNAcentral
AGGGCAGACUAGGCAAUCGCGUAAAGACUUUGGUUUUUAUGAGGAAAGUCCGGACUCCUAUCAAGCAUGGUACCUGCAGAGAUUUAUUCAAUGCAGGAAACGACUCAAAGCUGUUAUGGCUCAAGGUUGUUAUGGAAAGUGUCACAGAAAAUAACCGCUAAACUUCGGUUUAGUAAGGGUGAAAAUGUGCGGUAAGAGCGCACAAAUGUGCAUAGCAAUGUGUACAUAGGACAAACCCUACCAGGAGCAAGACAAAGUAAGCAAGCAGGGCGCUUGAUCCCGUACUUGCGGGUAUGUCGCAUAGAUAAAUGAUUGCUCCAUAUAUAGAAAUAUACAUGUACAGAAUCCGGCUUAUUGUCUGCCUUUAAU